CAGAUUCAUAUAAUUCCUUCCUGAAUCUCACCUGCUCAGCACCAUCAUCAGCACCACCAUCAGAUCUUAUCAUCAGAGCGGUCGUCCUGCCGCUGACGCUGCUGUUGGUGAACGUUGCCCUUUACUUCUACUGUAAGGCCAGCAGGGGGCAGAAGCCGGGCAGACGGGAGAACAUGGA
Cottoperca gobio is the source of this 178-nucleotide long non-coding RNA. RefSeq lists it as uncharacterized. The record is from RefSeq and is a predicted model, not a curated record. The transcript has 3 exons. NCBI's taxonomy places the organism in Eukaryota, Metazoa, Chordata, Actinopteri, Perciformes, Bovichtidae.